GGAAGUUGCCGAUGAGCUGCCGAGGGGGCGUUGUCGGAAUGGUUCCGAGGCGGUUGGAGUCCUGCAGUUGACACCGAGAGUGCGACGAGAAAGGGUGUCAGGGAGGCGGCCGGGCGAGAGCGGCCUCCGCGGGUCUCAUGGUCUAGUAUGGACCCUGUUGCUGUUCACAGCUGCCACCUCCUGCAGCAGCUGCGAGAGCAGCGGAUCCAGGGCCUGCUUUGUGACUGCAUGCUGGUGGUGAGGGGCGUCUGCUUCAAAGCACACAAGAAUGUCCUGGCAGCCUUCAGCCAGUAUUUCAGGAGCCUCUUUCAGAACUCUUCCAGCCAGAAGAACGACGUUUUCCACCUGGACGUUACAAAUGUCAGUGGCAUAGGGCAGAUCCUGGACUUCAUGUACACAUCGCGCCUCGACCUCAACCAGGACAACAUUCAGGUGAUGCUGGACACAGCGCAGUGUCUGCAAGUGCAGAAUGUUCUGAAUCUGUGCCACACAUUUCUGAAGUCGGCCCCUGCAGCACAGCUGCCAGGCUUGCCUUGUGCUGGUGGCUUCUCCCUGCAGAGUGUGGCUCUGGAUGGCACCUGCGCCGUUAGUGAGCACUACCCUCCUCCCUCACUGCAGGAGUGCCCUGUGGAAGGCCCGCAGGCUAAAGUCCCGGCUGAAGUGAACGCUCGUGCUCCAUCGGCAAAUUUCAGUCGUCCCACGGAAGUGUCAAAACCAGAUGCUGCAGGCGGCAGCUGCCCAGAGCUGCCCUGCAAGCAGCCCAACCACUAUUACAAACUCAGAACAUUGUACAGCAAGCAGUAUUACAAGCAAACUGCCUGCCCCAGCCAGGUGCCUGCCACACAACAGCCGCUCACUCGCAGUGCCUCCACAGACCUCGCUGCAGCAGACUCGCAGCCUCCUGUGGAGGGCCGUCCAGCUGUCCUGGAGACUCCAGAGCACUUGCCUUCCACCUUUGUGGCUCCACCUGUCAGGAACUCUGGCAAUGACUCUGAGGCAGACCCCCUUUCUGAGCCCCCUGCCAAGCAGAUGAGACUGAAGAAGGCCAUGCACCUGAAGAAACUAAACUUUCUAAAGUCACAGCAGUCGGCAGAGUGCACUUCACACCCUGAGCCAGAUAAUGGGUUGGCCAGGAGGGAGGAGUCUGCUGCUAAGGAAGAUGCAGUGGAGAGAGCUGGAAGCCAGACUGCUGAAGAAAAAGGGAGGGGAGAACUGGGUCCAGAGAGCAGCCGUGAGGAGGAGCUGCCAGGAGCCCCAGCUUCCUGGGAAGACCCGUCCCAGGCUCUCCAGCCCCAGAAACAGUAUGCAUGUGAAUUGUGUGGGAAGCCUUUUAAACACCCAAGCAAUCUGGAGCUGCACAAACGGUCUCAUACAGAAACUUACCUGUUGUAGCUUUAAAGGAGCAAAAUUAAAUUGCUAAUUCUGGAGACCAUCUGUGAGUGACAGAUACAGUCAUAGGGCAGAGACACUUCCUCGGAUGUAAGUGCUGCAUUGAGAUGGCAGCAGAGCGUGGCCUGGACACCAGGGACCUGUGAGAGAGGCCAGAGCUGUCUCAGACUGGUGCAGAUGCCACUUCCUUCCUCCUCGGCGUGCUGUGGAAGCUGCCAGUGGCCACAUGGUGAGAAACCUUUUGAAUGUAACAUUUGUGGGAAACACUUCUCUCAGGCAGGCAACCUUCAGACUCACUUACGCCGGCACUCUGGGGAGAAGCCAUACAUCUGUGAAAUCUGUGGAAAGAGGUUUGCGGCCUCUGGUGACGUCCAGCGCCACAUCAUCAUUCACUCUGGAGAGAAGCCACACUUGUGUGACACGUGCGGCCGAGGGUUCAGCAAUUUCAGCAAUUUGAAAGAGCACAAAAAGACACACACGGCUGACAAGGUGUUUACCUGUGACGAGUGUGGGAAGUCCUUUAACAUGCAGAGGAAGCUGGUGAAGCACCGCGUGCGGCACACGGGGGAGCGGCCAUACAGCUGCCCUGCCUGUGGUGAGUCUGGCCUCGUCCUGUGUGAGGUGGACGUGCCCACCCUGCUGCUGGCCGCCAGAAGUCACUGUUCUCUCACGGGGCCGGCCAAAGUGGUAGUUCCUUUGCUUCCUCGUGGGAAUAAUGCCACAUACCAGACUCUGCGUCUGUAGGCAUCAGGAACUGAUCCUGAUGCCCAGACACAAAGUGACUCCAAGCCCCAUCACCCAGAGCUGGCAGCCCCGUGGGAGGGGGAGAGUGUGGGAGCACACUUUGGGAACUAAGGGCAUGCAUCAGUCACAGGUCAGAAAGCAGCUGGCCUGGGUAGGCCUCAGCGAGGCCACGGAUGGUAAAGGAAGAGCAGGCAGCUCUCCACCUCGGGUACCUUGGUGCAUGGCUUUCUAUUCCUGCACAAACAUCAUGACCAAGAGGCAAGAUAGGGAGGAAAGGCUUUAUUCAGCUUACACUUCCACACUGCUGUUCAUCACCAAAGGAAGUCAGGACUGGAACUGAGGGUAGGAACCUGGAGGCAGGAGCGGAUACAGAAGCCAUGGAGGAGUACUGCUUACUGGCUUGCUUCUUCUGUCUUGCUCAGCCUGCUCUCUUAUAGAACCAAGACUACCAGCCUAGGGAUGGCACCACCCACAGGGGACCUCCCCUCUUGAUCACUAAUUGUGAAAAUGCCCCACAGCUGGAUCUCAUGGAGGCAUUUCCCCAACUAAAGCUCCUUUCUCUGUGAUAACUCCAGCUGUGUCAAGUUGGCACACAAAACCAAGUGCACAUGUGAAGACCAGGAAUUGAGCAGCUGUAGCUUGUGACUACAUGGAAUCAAGAGUCAUACACCCCCAGGAACCUGAGGAAGGCAUUUGCCCAUGUGCCCAUUGUGUGUGCUGGCGGAGCUGUGAUGACUGGGUGAACUGUCUUUAUGGCGGUCUGUUCAGAGUGCACCUGGGUUAGCUUCUACUGAGGGCUGGGGCUGCAGUUGGCAUCUGACAGCUCAGGACUUCCCUCCCAUCUCUUUUCUGACAGACUAGCCAACGGCACACAGCCUGAUAACUGUGAGGUCAGGUCUCACUCUCUUUCCAUGGUGACUCCAUAUGGCUAAAGUAUGUGUGCACUAGGGACCCUACAGAUGGGGGUGGCAGCUGCCCACAAGUCCCAGCUGAGAGUUAGUGGUACAGUGGAAGGCAGAGGAUCUACUUAUGCCCAGAGAUGGAUGGUCGGGAGCAGAAGGCAGCUAGGUCGCACAGUAGUAAACGAGGAGCUGGAACACUAAAGCCGUAGACUCCCACAGACACAUUACUAAGAUGGCACGUAAAGCUGUGAAGAUGCCUGACUGGUGUUAUAUGAAAACGCUGACCCUGACACUGGGCUGACACGAGCUGUUAGUGGGUGCUGGCUCAGGGUUUAUAUGGAGGUAUUCAGAGCUUUCUUGGAGAGCCCUAGCUGUUGGUUCAGUGGCAUUCUUCUUUGUGCCCCCAUCCCACCUGCUCCUGUUGCUUUACACGGCCCCCAUGGCUGCAGAAUCAAAGCGGUGGUAUGCGGCAUUCAGUCAGGGAGAAGCUGUCCGUGUGUCCAGUAUGCAAGGGGUGUUUCCUUUCAGAGAGCUCUCACCGGAAGGCCUUUGCAGUUAUCUCCUGAGUUCUGCUCCUCACAAGGAAGCAGGCUGAAGGACAGACAAGUAUGUGCACGUCUUUGGUACAAGCUUCCUGCACAGACGUCAGGAAAGGGGUGGUAGGCUUUCUAGGCUACCUGACCAUGCGCACUACCACUGCCUACACCCCACCGUUCUAGACAGAAGCUAGAGGGGAAAGGUUUGUUCUGGGCUUAUGGUUUCCAUCAGAGGUCUAGCCCUAGUGACUCACUCUCACUAGCUGGGCCCUCUCUCCUAAAGGUUCCACAUCCUCACUCAAUACCGUCCUCAGCUGAGGAGCAUCGGGGACCAUCACGGGCUAGCUGACAGCAGCAUUGCACAGGAGUACCGUCGUUGAGGGGGCUGUGUUUCAGUCUGAUACGGAGCAGCUGCUGGCUGCCUGGGCAGGCCCUAGCACUGAGGCCCAGAGGGCUUGUGCUGAGUCUCCAGCUGCAAGGGCCCAUUGGAGAGGGAUCUCAUUCAAAGUGAGGGUGCCAUCCCCCUCAGCUUCCCUUAGAUUGGUUGUUCAGAAGGAGGGGAUCCUUCCACUUCUAAACUAGCCCUUCUCUGCAGGGAAGUGCUUUGGGGGCUCAGGAGACCUGCGCAGGCACGUGCGCACUCACACUGGGGAGAAGCCCUAUAGCUGUGAGGUCUGCAGCAAGUGUUUCACACGCUCGGCUGUGUUGCGGCGGCACAAGAGGAUGCACGGCAGAGCUGAUGCCAGGAGCCCCGUUGUGCUGGGUGAGCUGAGCCGGCCCAUUGAGCCCUCUGACCUGGACAGGUCUCAGAGCUCGGACUCCUUCUCCCAGGAUGUGUCUGUCACACUGAUGCCUGUGUCUGUCAAGCUCCCUGUGCAGCCUGUGGAAAGUUCUGUGGCAGGAUUCGAUGGCCACUGUAGUGGCUCCUACUGUAAGUUACGCUCCAUGCUUCGCCCUCCUGGCAUGAGUGACCAGGACAGACUGAGCCUGGAACCUUCUAAGCUGGCCAAGCCACCGGAGCUGCAGAGCCAGCCACAGGCCUACGCGUACUCAGAUGUGGAGCCCUCAGCAGGUGUGGAGCAGCCACAGGCCGAUGGCAUGGCUGUGUCCCGCUCUUCCCUGGCCACUCUGGACAACCACUGCACUGAGCCACUGGGCAGCCGGGCACCUUCGGUGACCUACAGGAACUCUGAGGGACAGUUUUUCUCCAGUAUGACUCUCUGGGGGCUGGCAAUGAAGACACUGCAGAAUGAACAUGAGCUGGAGCAGUGAGGUCUCGUAACACUAGAGAGAACCGUCCCUCCUGCCCAACCCGGCUCCCUGUCGGCUCUGCACAACCCAGGGAGUGGGAGGAAGGCCUGCUCGCCCCUGCUGGUCCCAGGGAGGUCGGCCAACCGCAUAGGGCUGCUACGCAGCAGUCAACAACUCAGAGAAGCAGUCUAGGGUGAGGACAGCUGAUUCACAUCAGUGCAACAGCGCACCUAACGUCAGCUACUGUACAUUUGUCCUGUUAUGACAUAUGUAUACACAAAAUAUAGAUAGAUUUACAUUUUUAUAUGAUAGAAGAUUUUAGUAUCUUAUAUUUUAAAAUAUUUAUACAGAUUCUAUUUGUAUAUUAAACGUAUAAUUUAAUUUGAAUAAAUGAGCUAGCUUUUUCAUA
Mus musculus (house mouse) is the source of this 5231-nucleotide RNA transcript. It is a transcript of the gene named zinc finger and BTB domain containing 49, with no coding region annotated. The record is from RefSeq and is marked validated. The transcript has 8 exons. NCBI's taxonomy places the organism in Eukaryota, Metazoa, Chordata, Mammalia, Rodentia, Muridae.